CCGACGGGUGACCGCCCGCUCGGACACUGACACCGGUACCUCACACGGCCGGUGCAG
Non-coding RNA from Streptomyces griseus subsp. griseus, 57 nucleotides. Lineage: Bacteria; Bacillati; Actinomycetota; Actinomycetes; Kitasatosporales; Streptomycetaceae. The record is from Rfam.